CCCUUAGAUGUUCUGGGCCGCACACGCGCUACACUGGCAGGUUCAUCGAGCUUCAUGCCCUGAUCUGAGAAGGACGGGAAAUCUUUGAACACCUGCUGUGCUUGGGAUAGAUGUUUGCAAUUAUUCAUCUUCAACGAGGAUUGCCUUGUAAGCGCACGUCAUCAGCGUGCAUUGAAUACGACCCUGUAUUCUGUACACACCGCCCGUCGCUCCUACCGAUUGAAGUUUUCGGUGAAUUUACUGGAGAUCCCUUUUGAAGGUGGUUCGCCACUGGAAGAAGUAUUCAAAAGUAAAUGAAUCGAAUGCUUUAGAGGAAGGAGAAGUCGUAACA
Molecule: ribosomal RNA, 331 nt
Filed under: uncultured eukaryote
Lineage: Eukaryota
Description: partial 18S ribosomal RNA
Rfam family: Eukaryotic small subunit ribosomal RNA
Source: RNAcentral